GAACGCACCUUGCGCCCUUGGCAUUCCGAGGGGCACACCCGUUUGAGUGUCGUGAAAUCCUCAAAACCUCUUCUUUCGCGAAAAGGCGUUUUGGACUUGGAGGUUCGAUGCUCGCUUUCGCCUCUGAAAGCGAGCUCCUCUCAAAUGAAUCUAGUGGGGUCUGCUUUGCUGGUCCUUGACGUGAUAAGAUGUUUCUACGUUUUGGAUUUGGCGUCGACGAUGCCCCUGCUUCCAAUCGUCUCAUGGACAACGAUGGUGCUUCCGGUCACCGCCAUCUACAUCGGCGGGAGGCUGGACCCACGAAAAAACCUUGACCUCAAAUCGGGUGAGACUACCCGCUGAACUUAAGCAUAUCAAUAAGCGGAGGA
RNAcentral lists this ribosomal RNA (368 nucleotides) under Russula taetra. RNAcentral describes it as "eukaryotic LSU rRNA". The stretch from base 312 to 368 matches the Rfam family "Eukaryotic large subunit ribosomal RNA", at positions 1 to 57 of the family's 3401-position model. The record is from RNAcentral. Lineage: Eukaryota; Fungi; Basidiomycota; Agaricomycetes; Russulales; Russulaceae.